Long non-coding RNA from Homo sapiens (human), 957 nucleotides. RefSeq lists it as uncharacterized. The record is from RefSeq and is a predicted model, not a curated record. The transcript is spliced from 3 exons. Lineage: Eukaryota; Metazoa; Chordata; Mammalia; Primates; Hominidae.
GGCAACCCGCUCGGGUCACCUUCGACACCGUGGAAGCUUUGUUCUUUCGUCCUUUGCAAUAAAUCUUGCUACUGCUCACUCUUUGGGUCCACACUGCUUUUAUGAGCUGUAACACUCACCUCGAAGGUCUGCAGCUUCACUCCUGAGCCAGUGAGACCACGAACCCCCUAGAAGGAAAAAACUCCGAACACAUCCAAACAUCAGAAGGAACAAACUCCAGACGUGCCACUUUAAGAGCUGUAACACUCACCGCGAGGGUCCGUGGCUUCAUUCUUGAAGUCAGUGAGACCAAGAACCCACCAAUUUCGGACACACUAGGCUCUGACAAGCAACUCUGCAAAGCAGAAGUGAUGCUUGAAACCACAGCAGCCAUUUUGGGGCCACGAGGCAAUAAGCACAAGGAUAAAAAGCCAAGAACCAAAGAUGGAGAAUCAAGGGUGUAAUGAACCUAGAUGAUAUGAUAUGACAGAGUCCUGAACUGCUAGACUUCUUACUAGGAGUCCCAGUGUCUCCUGAGGAAAUCCCUUUCCCAUUCAGCCGGCAGCUGCAGCAGGUGGGAUGGGCCAGACCAGCCCUCUGGGGAUGCUGAUCCCAGGGAGCAUCCAGGCCGGAAGGUCCAAACGGGCAAGUGACUCAUUUGCUUUUCCUCCCUUGGUCAUGUCUAUGACUCAUACACUUUCAUUCAGUCCCAAGUAUGAGAAAGGAACAUCAAAAAGUCCAAGAUGUUAUCAAAUAUUUGAUGAAAAAGAAAAUUCCCCUCUCAUAUGACCCUUACAGAAAAUGUUUAUUUAGUCUUUUCAUUUUGUUGACAUUUCUUUGAUUUAUCAACAUUGAGAAGGUACAGUGAGGAGAAGGAAGGCUGUUAAGUGAGACAAAGGAGGGUUAGGAUGGCUCAGUCAUUGCUCCCCCGAGGGAGUGAUCUAAGCUGCUCACCCACAGACAGAAAGGGUAAAUGGG